Molecule: ribosomal RNA, 1437 nt
Filed under: Thermopallium natronophilum
Lineage: Bacteria; Thermotogati; Thermotogota; Thermotogae; Thermotogales; Thermotogaceae
Description: bacterial SSU rRNA
Rfam family: Bacterial small subunit ribosomal RNA
Source: RNAcentral
CUGNCGGCGUGCCUAACACAUNCAAGUCGAGCGGUGCUACGGAGGUCUUCGGACUGAAGUAGCAUAGCGGCGGACGGGUGAGUAAUACACAGGAACGUGCCCCUUGGAGGCGGAUAGCUGUGGGAAACUGCAGGUAAUCCGCCGUAAGCUCGGGAGAGGAAAGCCGGAAGGCGCCGAGGGAGCGGCCUGUGGCCCAUCAGGUAGUUGGUAGGGUAAGAGCCUACCAAGCCGACGACGGGUAGCCGGUCUGAGAGGAUGGACGGCCACAAGGGCACUGAGACACGGGCCCUACUCCUACGGGAGGCAGCAGUGGGGGAUAUUGGACAAUGGGCGAAAGCCUGAUCCAGCGACGCCGCGUGAGGGACGAAGUCCUUCGGGACGUAAACCUCUGUUGUAGGGGAAGAAGACAGUGACGGUACCCUACGAGGAAGCCCCGGCUAACUACGUGCCAGCAGCCGCGGUAAUACGUAGGGGNCGAGCGUUACCCGGAAUCACUGGGCGUAAAGGGUGCGUAGGCGGUCUAGCAAGUCUGGCCUUAAAGACCACGGCUCAACCGUGGGGAUGGGCUGGAAACUGUUAGACUUGAGGGCACUAGAGGCAGACGGAACUGCUGGUGUAGGGGUGAAAUCCGUAGAUAUCAGCAGGAACGCCGGUGGAGAAGUCGGUCUGCUGGGGUGACCCUGACGCUGAGGCACGAAAGCUAGGGGAGCGAACCGGAUUAGAUACCCGGGUAGUCCUAGCCGUAAACGAUGCUCACUAGGUGUGGGGGAGUAAAUCCUCCGUGCUGAAGCUAACGCGAUAAGUGAGCCNCCUGGGGAGUACGCCCNCAAGGGUGAAACUCAAAGGAAUUGACGGGGGNCCGCACAANCGGUGGAGCGUGUGGUUUAAUUGGAAGCUAAGCCAAGAACCUUACCAGGGUUUGACAUUCUGGUGGUACCGANCCGAAAGGUGAGGGACUCUUCACUUAGGUGGAGGGAGCCAGCACAGGUGGUGCACGGUCGUCGUCAGCUCGUGCCGUGAGGUGUUGGGUUAAGUCCCGCAACGAGCGCAACCCCUGCCCUUAGUUGCCAGCACGUAAAGGUGGGCACUCUAAGGGGACUGCCUGCGACGAGCAGGAGGAAGGAGGGGAUGACGUCAGAUACUCGUGCCCCUUAUGCCCUGGGCGACACACGCGCUACAAUGGGCAGGACAAAGGGAAGCGAGCCGGCGACGGUGAGCAAAUCCCAAAAACCUGCCCCCAGUUCAGAUUGUGGGCUGAAACCCGCCCACAUGAAGCCGGAAUCGCUAGUAAUCGUGGAUCAGCCACGCCACGGUGAAUACGUNCCCGGGNCUUGUACACACCGCCCGUCAAGCCACCCGAGUUGGGGGNACCCGAAGAUACGUACCCUUAGGGGGCGUAUUUAGGGUGAACCUGGUGAGGGGGGGUNGUCGGAAGUC